GGGUGUGAUGGAGUGGAGGUAUAUGUACGUGUGUGUGGAUGUGUUGGGGUUGUGGGGUGAGUGAAUGGGAGGAAGAAUGGGAUGAGGAAACGUGCAAGUGGGUAUGGGAUAGGUAGUUCUGUUUAGAUUUUUAUUUUUUAAUAAUUAAUAUAUACAGUAUAAUAUAAUUAAGAAAUAUCAGCUUAUUUAUUAAACUAAA
This 199-nucleotide long non-coding RNA is filed under the name Solanum tuberosum (potato). Its description in RNAcentral is "long non-coding RNA (STUB_LNC005338)". Lineage: Eukaryota; Viridiplantae; Streptophyta; Magnoliopsida; Solanales; Solanaceae. The record is from RNAcentral.